This is a non-coding RNA of Spinacia oleracea (spinach), 86 nucleotides long. Lineage: Eukaryota; Viridiplantae; Streptophyta; Magnoliopsida; Caryophyllales; Amaranthaceae. The record is from Rfam.
GAGUUGAUGAUGAUAAUUUACCUUAUCUUAGAGGAUUUCAGUGAGAUCAAUGAUCUAUGAUCUGAUUGUUACACACACUGAAGCUC